Molecule: ribosomal RNA, 435 nt
Filed under: uncultured bacterium
Lineage: Bacteria
Description: partial 16S ribosomal RNA
Rfam family: Bacterial small subunit ribosomal RNA
Source: RNAcentral
GAUGAACGCUGGCGGUAUGCUUAACACAUGCAAGUCGAACGGACUCUUCGGAGUUAGUGGCGGACGGGUGAGUAACGCGUGAGAAUCUGGCUUUGGGUUCGGGACAACCACUGGAAACGGUGGCUAAUACCGGAUGUGCCGAGAGGUAAAAGAGAAAUUGCCUGAAGAUGAGCUCGCGUCUGAUUAGCUAGUUGGUGAGGUAAAGGCUCACCAAGGCAGCGAUCAGUAGCUGGUCUGAGAGGAUGACCAGCCACACUGGGACUGAGACACGGCCCAGACUCCUACGGGAGGCAGCAGUGGGGAAUUGUCCGCAAUGGGCGAAAGCCUGACGGAGCAAUAUCGCGUGAGGGAAGAAGGCUCUUGGGGUGUAAACCUCUUUUCUUAGGGAAGAACAAAAUGACGGUACCUAAGGAAUCAGCAUCGGCUAACUCCGUG